CAGAUGUGAAAGACCCGGGGCGUCAACCUCGGAAUUGCAUUUGAAACUGGCAGACUAGAGUACUGUAGAGGGGGGUAGGAAUUUCAGGUGUAGCGGUGAAAUGCGUAGAGAUCUGAAGGAAUACCGGUGGCGAAGGCGGCCCCCUCGGACAGAUACUGACACUCAGAUGCGAAAGCGUGGGGAGCAAACAGGAUUAGAUACCCCUGGUAG
This 210-nucleotide ribosomal RNA is filed under the name uncultured bacterium. Its description in RNAcentral is "partial 16S ribosomal RNA". It matches the Rfam family "Bacterial small subunit ribosomal RNA", at positions 589 to 793 of the family's 1533-position model. The record is from RNAcentral.